AUAUGAAUAAAACCGAGCAUUUGCUCAUGCUCAACCUGGUUUAAGUAAAGUAAAGUCUUUGAGCAUUUACUCAAAACCGUAUGAAUAAAACUAUACUUUACUCAGAGUAAGUUCGAAAUUCGAACAUAGCUUUUACUCUGUCAAAAAUGUUGUUUUUGUUUUGGUUAUCCGAUUUCGCAAAAAAUCCAGUAGUGCUUUGGCGGAUGUUUUGCCAUGCUAGGGAAAAAGUGUGAGUUGCUUGAUUUGCUGCCGCUUGCUGAUGCACACCCCGGCGGAACAUAUUUAUUAGCAUCACGCCUACCGGGGAAGCGUCGGUGAACGCAGAAAAAUCGCCUAACGGGGAAGCGUCGGUGAACGCAGGACACUAGUACACCAACAAGGACUACAAAUUGGUGCGUGGAGAACACCCAACCGGUCCGCUCGCUACGCUCUCAGUGGAGAACAGAUGACAAUGCCCUUCAACAGAAUCGGUGUCCAAGUGAAAGGCCACGUUGACGCUAUUUGGAACCCCAGCGGAGUCGAUUGAACAUCCUGAUCGACAAGUUUCAGCAAUGGAAAGAAAGAAGAACAAACGAUCUGUCCUGAGUGGGUUCGCGAUGCAGGCUACCAGAUUCAGGGACCACAUCCCCACUUGGCUGUUAAAGAAAUGAAUAAACUGUUAACAUAUCCUA
RNAcentral lists this long non-coding RNA (671 nucleotides) under Aedes aegypti (yellow fever mosquito). RNAcentral describes it as "lncRNA AAEL022601". Lineage: Eukaryota; Metazoa; Arthropoda; Insecta; Diptera; Culicidae. The record is from RNAcentral.